Molecule: ribosomal RNA, 564 nt
Filed under: uncultured Methanosarcina sp.
Lineage: Archaea; Methanobacteriati; Methanobacteriota; Methanomicrobia; Methanosarcinales; Methanosarcinaceae
Description: partial 16S rRNA
Rfam family: Archaeal small subunit ribosomal RNA
Source: RNAcentral
CCUACGGGGCGCAGCAGGGGCGAAAACCUUACAAUGCGGGAAACCGUGAUAAGGGGACACCGAGUGUCAGCAUCAUAUGCUGGCUGUCCAGGUGUGUAAAAUACACCUGUUAGCAAGGGCCGGGCAAGACCGGUGCCAGCCGCCGCGGUAACACCGGCGGCCCGAGUGGUGAUCGUGAUUAUUGGGUCUAAAGGGUCCGUAGCCGGUUUGGUCAGUCCUCCGGGAAAUCUGAUAGCUCAACUAUUAGGCUAUCGGGGGAUACUGCCAGGCUUGGAACCGGGAGAGGUAAGAGGUACUACAGGGGUAGGAGUGAAAUCUUGUAAUCCCUGUGGGACCACCUGUGGCGAAGGCGUCUUACCAGAACGGGUUCGACGGUGAGGGACGAAAAGCUGGGGGGCACGAACCGGAUUAGAUACCCCGGGGUAGGCCCCGGCCGUAAACGAUGCUCGCUAGGGUGUCAGGCAUGGCGCGACCCGUGUCUGGGUGCCGCAGGAAGCCGUGAAGCSRRSCCACCUGGGRAAGWMSGGCCGMARGGYUGAAACUWAARGRAWUKGSSGGGGGAGC